AACAAGGUUUCCGUUGGUGAACCAGCGGAGGGAUCAUUACGAGUUUCAGACUCCCAAACCCACUGUGAACCACCGCAAGCGUUGCCUCGGCGGGGACCCCCGGCGCCCCAGCGGCCCGGCGGGGCGCCCGCCGGAGGACCACGACUCCGUAUUCCAGGCGUCCCUCCGAGUGAACGAAAAAUGAGUCAAAACUUUCAACAACGGAUCUCUUGGUUCUGGCAUCGAUGAAGAACGCAGCGAAAUGCGAUAAGUAAUGUGAAUUGCAGAAUUCAGUGAACCAUCGAAUCUUUGAACGCACAUUGCGCCCGCCAGCACUCUGGCGGGCAUGCCUGUCCGAGCGUCAUGUCAACCCUCGAGCCCCGGCUCGGCGUUGGGGGUCGCGGCCCAGGCCGCCCCCGAAAUGCAGUGGCGACGCCGCCGCAGCCUCCCCCGCGCAGUAGAUCCGCUCGCGACGGGAGCGCGGAGGCCCGCGCCUCGAAACCGCAACACGAGUUGACCUCGGAUCAGGUAGGGAUACCCGCUGAACUUAAGCAUA
RNAcentral lists this ribosomal RNA (535 nucleotides) under Hirsutella sp. NHJ11941.02. Its description in RNAcentral is "eukaryotic LSU rRNA". The stretch from base 190 to 343 matches the Rfam family "5.8S ribosomal RNA". The record is from RNAcentral. Lineage: Eukaryota; Fungi; Ascomycota; Sordariomycetes; Hypocreales; Ophiocordycipitaceae.